GUGCUCCCUUCAGCAGCACAUAUACUGAAAUUGGUACAACACAGAAGAUUAGCAUGGCCCUUGUGCAAGGAUGACAUGCAAAUUUGUGAACUGUUCCAUAUUACU
RNAcentral lists this small nuclear RNA (105 nucleotides) under Jaculus jaculus (lesser Egyptian jerboa). The record is from RNAcentral. Lineage: Eukaryota; Metazoa; Chordata; Mammalia; Rodentia; Dipodidae.